Molecule: long non-coding RNA, 493 nt
Filed under: Arabidopsis lyrata
Lineage: Eukaryota; Viridiplantae; Streptophyta; Magnoliopsida; Brassicales; Brassicaceae
Description: long non-coding RNA (ALYR_LNC002241)
Source: RNAcentral
CCAGUCGCAAUAGAUAUUGUUCAUCCUAUUCUCCUAUGCGAUAUAUUUGUAAGUCACUCAAAGGCUCCACUUGUUCAUAAGCUUCCAAAAAACACGAUUAAUGACUAAUAUAUCACCAACUCUGUUAUAUGUUCUUAAGAAAAUAUUGCCUUUUUCCAAAAAAAAAUAAUAGUAUAGAAAAGCUUUAAAAUAUACGAAAUUGACAAUCCAACUUUUGAAUAUGCUCGAAAUAACGAAGUAUAAAAAUGAAGUAGAGCUACCUAUGCAUUCCACUUGAAUGCAUGAACUAAGUACACUCAAGUGGAAGUCGAGUGUGUACGUGUAUCAGUUUAUGGGUAUUAAAGGAAUUAAAGAACCUUUGCUUACGGCAGUAAUAAAGGAAUUAAAGAACCUUUGCUUUUAGUUAGGUCACUUCCUUUCCUCAAUGCUCGAUUUGAUCGUUGACAAAACAAAAUUCUUUUAACACACAAAAAAAUAUUAACCGCUGAGACUG